UAAUACGGAGGGAGCGAGCGUUGUUCGGAAUUACUGGGCGUAAAGCGUAUGUAGGCGGCUUCGUAAGACAGGUGUGAAAUCCCAGAGCUUAACUUUGGAACUGCAUUUGUGACUGCAAGGCUUGAGUAUCGGAGAGGUUGGCGGAAUUCCCAGUGUAGCAGUGAAAUGCGCAGAUAUUGGGAGGAACACCGAUGGCGUAAGCAGCCAACUGGACGAUUACUGACGCUGAGAUACGAAAGUAUGGGGAGCAAACAGGAUUAGAUACCCUGGUAGUCCAUACCAUAAACGAUGUGUGCUAGCUGUUGGGACUCUUAGAGUUUCGAUGGCGCAGCUAACGCUUUAAGCACACCGCCUGGGGAGUACGGUCGCAAGAUUA
Molecule: ribosomal RNA, 376 nt
Filed under: uncultured bacterium
Lineage: Bacteria
Description: bacterial SSU rRNA
Rfam family: Bacterial small subunit ribosomal RNA
Source: RNAcentral